UCAGCGCACGAGGAGCUGGUAUCGGCAGUAUGGAUAUUUAGUAUCGAUCCGCACGUCACUAGCUGUCACGUGAUAGCUGAUCGCCGUCAUCGUUCUCACAGCGUACCGAAAACAACCAAUCAGAAAGCACAAAAUGUCGAGUGGCGGUAAAGCCUGCACUCACGGGACAACGUUGCGGUUGCUUGAGUCGCCGUGAGAGAAUGUUAAGACAACGUUCUUCUUUGGUUUGGUUCUAACUAGCCAAUGUUUUUUCUUUGUGUUAGCUGCGAGUAAGCCUCAACUUGGCGACGACGAGCUAGCAAGCCGUUUUUGGCCGACAAGAAGCGACGACGUUCAAGGUUGUGCCUCAGCUGCCAUUAUUCCAAGUGAAUCCCGCCCCUUCUGCUACAUAGCCAAGAUGGCCGCUCGUUUGGGUGAAGCCAUCGCACUACACGAGAUGUCGUUCCAUGGACCCCAGGCUGGACAAAGACAGGGGACGACAUUCAGCGUCAUGCUGAGACAGACGUUAAGAUGGAGAUGUGUCGUCCAACUUACUGCCAGAGUUCAUCCACACGCAGUUCUCGUCGUUGUUAUAUUUGUCGGGCUGACCCACACGCCAUGGACUAUACUCCACUGGUCCACUUCCAUCAGCCCAGUGGAAACCACCACCAUCCUGAAAGAAAGACAGCAAUUUGGAGUUCUUCACCCACUCAUCAUGAUCAGUGUGCUGGCUGCUUACUACUCCUCUCAGAGCACCGAUCCAGUAGUGGAGUCGAAAUGGGAAGAGCUGUAACAUCAUACACAGCAGCUUCUUGUGCUCGUCCUCAUUUUGCACUUUGACCAAAUUACCUUGGAAAAUUCGACACGUUUGCUGAGAGGUGGACAAUGAAGAAGUUUAGAACCAGAAGACGUUUAAUGCUGCUGCUUUUGUUUGCUGAUGUUUCACCUGCGCGUUGGCCCAGUCCUUUUCCAUGGUUAAUAAUUUGACACAGCUGUUUUCAUUCAGGCGGUACACUCCACACACUUCACUUUCACAUUCUUCCAGCUCCAUGUUGGUACACAUAGUAUUCAACAUAUUGAUGUCAUCUGUCACACACAAACACUGUCAGUUCUUGUCUGCCGCGCGUCGGAAUCAGUAUUGCAGAUGUUUUGCUUAUUACAAGAUUGAGCAAAGGCCGACACGACCAUCAGCGCCCCCAUCAGGAGGACGGAUGUCACAGCAGAAGGCAUGGCUCGGGAUGACUCGGACCUGGGAACAGCACAACGCUCAUUUUUCUGCAUCAACCUCUGCCAUCUUACUCUUCUACUCACCGCAGAUGUGUCGAUUUCAGUCUGCCUCCGCCGUCUUCAGCCUUCCACCGAGAUCCCGGCUCUUAAAUACUUUUCAUGCCGCCUGCAGGUCAACCGUUACAUUUGAAGAUUGAUGGCAGCGCCUUUGUUUUCUUUGGUAAAUUUGAUCAGGCAAAUGCCGUUAACGUCUGAUUUAGACACGGACUUGGUUGUCAGUUUGAGGCCGGAAAAAUAACGUUGCUUACCUGCAGCCAUCUGGUGUGUCCUAUUGCAUUGCUUAUUCAAUCCAUAGUUGGCACUGAAUGUCUGCGCUCUGUCACAGUGGUUAAGAUUUUGCCCAUGCAGACUGCAUAUAGAGCUGAAAACAAGAUGAAAAGCUGCGAGUGAAAAAUAAGCAACACAAGGACGUCUGCCAACCACAGACAGGCUGUGUCUCAAAUGGAAUACUUGCCAGUACAACUUAUUCAUAUACUGUGUACACUGCGUACUUGGUUCCUGAGGGUGUAAUUGUGUAGUGCUGUCAUUGCACACUUAACAGAAAUGGCAAUUCUUCUUCUCUCCUUUUUAACUGAGUGGCAACCACUUCCGUUACACCAGGGGUCUCAAACUCAUGGCAGCCGUAUUUUGUGGCCCUCUACUUGACGUCGAAGUUUAAUGUAGCCCACACACUCUAGAGCAGGGGUUCUUUACCUUUUUGACGACGAGGCCCGAUUUUUUUUUCAGUGCCCAUUAAAUAUGCACACUGUAUAGAUUUAAUUGAUCUCAUUCAUUUGUUUUCACUAAUAAAUCAAAUCCACUCCCAGUUUAACAAGCUAAAACCUGAAUAAAGUUUAAUGACAUGACAUGAUCAAAUCUGAUCAUCAGAUUGUCAAAACGUAACUUUUGAUAAUAAUUCAUGGAAUAACUCAAGCAAGAAAAAAUGCGAAGGCUUAAGUCCGGCUUAUUAAUAAAAAAGACCAACAUUUACAUUUUACUUUUAAAAGGGUAAGAAGGAAAAGUUGGUUACACUGGCACCACUUUUGUCUUGAUUUUUUCAUUUGAAAAACUUCUCCAUUGCUACAUGUAGUUGAAUGUCUUCUUCUGAUCUUCCGUGAGCAUGUUAAACAACGGACUGACACAUUACCGCCACCAUCUGGUGUGUACCCAUGCAAAGUAUUCAACAAACAACAUCGUUAUUAUGAAAAUUCCAGCAAGAGAAUCUGCCUCUGAAAGGAUCCGUGAACAUCCAAUCAGGUUUAAGAACAAACAAGGGUGUGGAUUGCCACACUGGUCUUUUGCUAAAAGAAUAAACCAGUCCAAAUGCAUUCAUUGCAUUUGCGGCUAAUGCACUGCAUUUUUGUACUCGCUGUC
This is a long non-coding RNA of Doryrhamphus excisus (bluestripe pipefish), 2619 nucleotides long. RefSeq lists it as uncharacterized. Lineage: Eukaryota; Metazoa; Chordata; Actinopteri; Syngnathiformes; Syngnathidae. The record is from RefSeq and is a predicted model, not a curated record.